Molecule: ribosomal RNA, 433 nt
Filed under: uncultured bacterium
Lineage: Bacteria
Description: partial 16S ribosomal RNA
Rfam family: Bacterial small subunit ribosomal RNA
Source: RNAcentral
AACGAACGCUGGCGGCAUGCCUAACACAUGCAAGUCGAACGAGACCUUCGGGUCUAGUGGCGCACGGGUGCGUAACGCGUGGGAACCUGCCCUUAGGUUCGGAAUAACUCCCCGAAAGGGGUGCUAAUACCGGAAAAUGUCUUCGGACCAAAGAUUUAUCGCCUUUGGAUGGGCCCGCGUUGGAUUAGCUAGUUGGUAGGGUAAAAGCCUACCAAGGCGACGAUCAAUAGCUGGUCUGAGAGGAUGAUCAGCCACACUGGGACUGAGACACGGCCCAGACUCCUACGGGAAGCAGCAGUGGGGAAUAUUGGACAAUGGGCGAAAGCCUGAUCCAGCACUGCCGCGUGAGUGAUGAAGGCCUUAGGGUUGUAAAGCUCUUUUACCCGGGAUGAUAAUGACAGUACCGGGAGAAUAAGCUCCGGCUAACUCCGUG